AGUUGAUCCUGGCUCAAGAUUGAACGCUGGCGGGAUGCUUUACACAUGCAAGUCGAGCAGCGGCACGGACUUCGGUCUGGUGGCGAGUGGCGAACGGGUGAGUAAUGUAUCCGGAACGUGCCUAGUAGCGGGGGAUAACUACGCGAAAGCGUAGCUAAUACCGCAUACGCCCUUCAGGGGAAAGCGGGGGACCUUCGGGCCUCGCACUAUUAAACGGCCGAUAUCGGAUUAGCUGGUUGGUGGAGUAACGGCUCACCAAGGCGACGAUCCGUAGCUGGUUUGAGAGGACGACCAGCCACACUGGGACUGAGACACGGCCCAGACUCCUACGGGAGGCAGCAGUGAAAUUUUGGACAAUGGAAACCCUGAUCCAGCCAUCCCGCGUGUGCGAUGAAGGCCUUCGGGUUGUAAAGCACUUUUGGCGGAAAGAAACGGCACGGGAUAAUACCCCGUGCAACUGACGAAGCCUGCAGAUAAGCACCGGCUAACUACGUGCCAGCAGCCGCGGUAAUACGUAGGGUGCAAGCGUUAAUCGGAAUUACUGGGCGUAAAGCGUGCGCAGGCGGUUCGGAAGAAAGAUGUGAAAUCCCAGAGCUUAACUUUGGAACUGCAUUUUAUACCGAGCUAGAAGUGUGUCAGAGGUGGAAUUCCGCGUGUAGCAGUGAAAUGUGAAUGUACGGAGGAACACCCGUGGCGAAGCAGCCUCCUGGGAUAACACUGACGCUCAUGCGCGAAAGCGUGAAUGACAGGAUUAGAUACCUGGUGAGUCCACGCCCUAAACGAUGUCAACUAGCUGUUGGGGCCUUCGGGCCUUGGUAGCGCAGCUAACGCGUGAAGUUGACCGCCUGGGGAGUACGGUCGCAAGGUCAAAACUCAAGGAAUUGACGGGGACCCGCACAAGCGGUGGAUGAUGUGGAUUAAUUCGAUGCAGGCGCGAAAACCUACCCUUGACAUGUCUGAGAUCGAAGGGUGGUGCUCACUAAGAAACCGGAACACAGGUGCUGCAUGGCUGUCGUCAGCUCGUGUCGUGAGAUGUUGAGUUAGAAUCCGCAACGAGCGCAACCCUGUCAUUAGUUGCUACGAAGGGCCUCUAAUGAGACUGCCGGUGACAAACCGGAGGAAGGUGAGGAUGACGUCAGAGUCCUCAUGGCCCUUAUGGGUAGGGCUUCACGUCAUGUGGGUCGGGACAGAAGGUCGCCAACCCGCGAGGAGUAAUCAGAAACCCGAUCGUAGUCCGGAUCAAGUCACAGCUCGACUGCGUGAAGUCGAAUCCGCUAAUCAUGAAUCAGCAUGUCGCGGUGGACGUUCCCGGGUCCUGUACCACCGCCCGUCACACCAUGGGAGUGGGUUUUGCCGAAGUAGUUAGCCUAACCGUAAGGAGGGCGAUUACAGUAGGAUUCAUGACUGGGGUGAAGUCGUAACAAGGUAG
This 1429-nucleotide ribosomal RNA is filed under the name uncultured Bordetella sp. RNAcentral's name for it is "partial 16S-23S ribosomal RNA intergenic spacer". It matches the Rfam family "Bacterial small subunit ribosomal RNA". The record is from RNAcentral. Lineage: Bacteria; Pseudomonadati; Pseudomonadota; Betaproteobacteria; Burkholderiales; Alcaligenaceae.